RNAcentral lists this ribosomal RNA (457 nucleotides) under uncultured Anoxybacillus sp. Its description in RNAcentral is "bacterial SSU rRNA". It matches the Rfam family "Bacterial small subunit ribosomal RNA", at positions 924 to 1382 of the family's 1533-position model. The record is from RNAcentral. Lineage: Bacteria; Bacillati; Bacillota; Bacilli; Caryophanales; Anoxybacillaceae.
CACAAGCGGUGGAGGAUGUGGUUUAAUUCGACGCAACGCGAAGAACCUUACCAGGGCUUGACAUCCCUGACCGCGUAUGAAAGUACGUUUCACCCUCGGGUGACAAGGAGACAGGUGGUGCAUGGUUGUCGUCAGCUCGUGUCGUGAGAUGUUGGGUUAAGUCCCGCAACGAGCGCAACCCUCGACCUUAGUUGCCAGCAUUCAGUUGGGCACUCUAAGGUGACUGCCGGCUAAAAGUCGGAGGAAGGUGGGGAUGACGUCAAAUCAUCAUGCCCCUUAUGACCUGGGCUACACACGUGCUACAAUGGGCGGUACAAAGGGUCGCGAACCCGCGAGGGGGAGCCAAUCCCAAAAAGCCGCUCUCAGUUCGGAUUGCAGGCUGCAACUCGCCUGCAUGAAGCCGGAAUCGCUAGUAAUCGCGGAUCAGCAUGCCGCGGUGAAUACGUUCCCGGGCCUU